This is a long non-coding RNA of Scatophagus argus, 1599 nucleotides long. RefSeq lists it as uncharacterized. NCBI's taxonomy places the organism in Eukaryota, Metazoa, Chordata, Actinopteri, Scatophagidae. The transcript is spliced from 4 exons. The record is from RefSeq and is a predicted model, not a curated record.
CGAGAGACGCCGAGCGGAGACACUACGUGAUUUGCGUCUGGGUCACGGAAGAAGUUGACCUUUGUUGACCACAGCGGAAGCAGAGUUUACCGGCAGGCCUUAUUAGGAUUUUGCAGAAGUUCCAGGCAGGACAGUUGGCUACGAGAUUUCUGUGUACAAUUUCUGACGGAUAUGAAGAGGAGACAGCCGUGGGACUUUUUAUCUGGACCAAUUGAGGAGCUCGUGUGGUUGUCAACGGGACUGUGUUUUUCUCCGCCUGCCUGAUGUUUGGCCCCUCUUCAUACCAUCAUCAUUCCCAUCAUCAGACUGCUCGUGGAAAGUUCUCAAGGCCGGUGUGGGAGAGUUGCUUGCAUGAUAUCACCAUGUACAACAGUGCAAGAAUAAUACAAUAUUGUGACUGAAAUGAAAACCUCAGCUUUCCAGCAGCAUUUACUGCACCAUUACAAAUAUCAGCCUUCUGUUGCUUUUGAUUGUUCAACCAGAAUAGCCUUAACAGUCCAGGGGAGAGGACAGCAAUCCAAGGACCAUUGAGCCCACAUCUGUACAGAGACUGUCUCCAACACGUCUCAGAACAAACUGCUGCCCUUGAGGGAAAGACCUGAGCCGACAGAGUGCAGGAAAAGGGAAAGUGGAGUCUGUGUUUACAUCAGUGCUUCUUAUUUUCUGUAAUAUUUUUUUACAAUAUUUUCUGGAUAACAAACUUUUAAUGCCAAGAUGUUGACUAUAUUAUUAUCACCAUUUUGUUGUUGCUGUUCACAUUCACCCUCAUGCAAAUUUAAAUUGCUGUUUGAGCUUUGAUAGUCAGAAGCACAUUGAUGGAACUUUGUGAUGAUGCCUCACCACUCUGUGUGAUGCCUGUGUUGUAGCUGGUGGAGGGCAGGCCACCUGUGAUUAUGGAGUCUUAUUACUUCAUCACUGUGAUUAUUAUUUUCUAAAAUGAUUGACUAUAUUACACUAGGCAAAUUGUCACUACUUUGGUAGUUUCAGAUGUUCUUUGGUUUUGAAUUGUCACAUUUAUAUUUCUUCAUGUUGUCUAUUUGUCUAUGAAAGUAAUACAUUGACUAAAUUGUAUACACUUGAAAAAUAGAGAAAAAACCUAUGGCUGUAGUAACUUCAAGGACAAUCACUAUACUUUUCCACAAAAAAGUAAAAGCACACAGACCAGCAUAAGGAAGAAAAAAACAUUAUCAAAGAAGAGUGGCUUUUUAAUGGUAUUUUUCUACCACAACCUUCUGGGGUCAGACCUUUUAAAAAAAGACUUGAUGAGGUCGUAAAAGGUCAGAAGCAAGCGUCAUUGGACCUGGUAUGUUGUAUGAAAGAACAGCUUGACUUUAACAAAACACAUAACAAGAACUGAAUGAGUGUGUGUGACAAAACAAAACUUCACUGUUAACUAAUUUUACAAUGUUAAACGCCAUUGAUUUUGAUCUGUGGAUAAUAUUUUAUUAAAAUAUAACAAAAAUAUUAUGUAAAUCAACAACAAGUAAAAUUCAAAAUUGGAGCAGAGGGUCGGAUUCUAUCGGCAUGUCGACAGGGAAGGCGCCUGAGCUGCAGUUGUCCAUCUCACAUACAUCUGACGGAACAGAUAUGCUCUAUUUC